RNAcentral lists this ribosomal RNA (253 nucleotides) under uncultured bacterium. RNAcentral describes it as "partial 16S ribosomal RNA". It matches the Rfam family "Bacterial small subunit ribosomal RNA", at positions 524 to 776 of the family's 1533-position model. The record is from RNAcentral.
UACGAAGGGGGCUAGCGCUGCUCGGAAUUACUGGGCGUAAAGCGCACGUAGGCGGCUUCUUAAGUCGGUGGUGAAAUCCUGGAGCUCAACUCCAGAACUGCCUUCGAUACUGGGAAGCUCGAGUCCGGGAGAGGUGAGUGGAACUGCGAGUGUAGAGGUGAAAUUCGUAGAUAUUCGCAAGAACACCAGUGGCGAAGGCGGCUCACUGGCCCGGUACUGACGCUGAGGUGCGAAAGCGUGGGGAGCAAACAGG